CCUACGGGAGGCAGCAGUGGGGAAUAUUGCACAAUGGGGGAAACCCUGAUGCAGCGACGCCGCGUGAGUGAAGAAGUAAUUCGUUAUGUAAAGCUCUAUCAGCAGGGAAGAAAAUGACGGUACCUGACUAAGAAGCCCCGGCUAACUACGUGCCAGCAGCCGCGGUAAUACGUAGGGGGCAAGCGUUAUCCGGAUUUACUGGGUGUAAAGGGAGCGUAGACGGCAGAGCAAGUCUGAAGUGAAAGGCGGGGGCUCAACCCCCGGACUGCUCUUGAAACUGUACGGCUGGAGUGCAGGAGAGGUAAGUGGAAUUCCUAGUGUAGCGGUGAAAUGCGUAGAUAUUAGGAGGAACACCAGUGGCGAAGGCGGCUUACUGGACUGUAACUGACGUUGAGGCUCGAAAGCGUGGGGAGCAAACAGGAUUAGAUACCCUUGUAGUC
This 440-nucleotide ribosomal RNA is filed under the name uncultured bacterium. Its description in RNAcentral is "partial 16S ribosomal RNA". It matches the Rfam family "Bacterial small subunit ribosomal RNA", at positions 338 to 795 of the family's 1533-position model. The record is from RNAcentral.